UAGGUAAGAGAUAAAAACACAGUCUGGCUGAUAGUACAGACCUAUUGAAAAAUAGAAGUAACCUGACAUCCUGGGGUUGCCCACUCUCUUGUAAUAAACA
This 100-nucleotide non-coding RNA is filed under the name Terrisporobacter othiniensis. RNAcentral describes it as "azaaromatic riboswitch aptamer (yjdF RNA)". It matches the Rfam family "azaaromatic riboswitch aptamer (yjdF RNA)". The record is from Rfam by way of RNAcentral. RNAcentral also lists the same sequence under 1 other name. Lineage: Bacteria; Bacillati; Bacillota; Clostridia; Peptostreptococcales; Peptostreptococcaceae.